This 899-nucleotide ribosomal RNA is filed under the name uncultured bacterium. Its description in RNAcentral is "bacterial SSU rRNA". It matches the Rfam family "Bacterial small subunit ribosomal RNA", at positions 631 to 1533 of the family's 1533-position model. The record is from RNAcentral.
AACUGUUAAUCUAGAAUGUGGGAGAGGUAGAUGGAAUUUCUGGUGUAGGGGUAAAAUCCGUAGAGAUCAGAAGGAACACCGAUUGCGAAGGCGAUCUACUGGAACAUUAUUGACGCUGAGAUGCGAAAGCGUGGGGAGCAAACAGGAUUAGAUACCCUGGUAGUCCACGCCCUAAACGAUGUACACUAGUUGUUGUGAGACUAGAUCUCGCAGUAAUGCAGUUAACACAUUAAGUGUACCGCCUGGGGAGUACGGUCGCAAGAUUAAAACUCAAAGGAAUAGACGGGGACCCGCACAAGCGGUGGAGCAUGUGGUUUAAUUCGACGAUACACGAAGAACCUUACCUGGACUUGACAUAGUAAGAAUGAUUUAGAGAUAGAUUAGUGUCUGCUUGCAGAAACUUGCAUACAGGUGCUGCACGGCUGUCGUCAGCUCGUGUCGUGAGAUGUUGGGUUAAGUCCCGCAACGAGCGCAACCCUCGUCGUUAGUUGCUAACAGUUCGGCUGAGAACUCUAACGAGACUGCCUACGCAAGUAGGAGGAAGGUGAGGAUGACGUCAAGUCAUCAUGGCCCUUACGUCCAGGGCUACACACGUGCUACAAUGGGAUAUACAAAGAGCCGCAAUACAGUGAUGUGGAGCAAAUCUUAUAAAAUAUCUCCCAGUUCGGAUUGUAGUCUGCAACUCGACUACAUGAAGUUGGAAUCGCUAGUAAUCGUAGAUCAGCUAUGCUACGGUGAAUACGUUCCCGGGUCUUGUACUCACCGCCCGUCACACCAUGGGAGUUGAACUCAUUCGAAGCGGGGAUGCUAAAGUAGCUACCUUCCACAGUGGAUUCAGCGACUGGGGUGAAGUCGUAACAAGGUAACCGUAGGAGAACCUGCGGCUGAUCACCUCCUAA